UACGAAGGGAGCUAGCGUUGUUCGGAAUUACUGGGCGUAAAGGGCGCGUAGGCGGCAUGGCAAGUCAGGAGUGAAAGGCCUGGGCUCAACCGAGGAACUGCUUUUGAUACUGCCAAGCUAGAGUGCGGAAGGGGCAACUGGAAUUCCCAGUGUAGCGGUGAAAUGCGUAGAUAUUGGGAAGAACACCUGAGGCGAAGGCGGGUUGCUGGGCCGACACUGACGCUGAGGCGCGAAAGCCAGGGGAGCAAACGGG
RNAcentral lists this ribosomal RNA (253 nucleotides) under uncultured bacterium. RNAcentral describes it as "partial 16S ribosomal RNA". It matches the Rfam family "Bacterial small subunit ribosomal RNA", at positions 524 to 776 of the family's 1533-position model. The record is from RNAcentral.